Molecule: RNA transcript, 2760 nt
Organism: Rhinichthys klamathensis goyatoka
Lineage: Eukaryota; Metazoa; Chordata; Actinopteri; Cypriniformes; Leuciscidae
Gene name: gastrula zinc finger protein XlCGF57.1-like
Exons: 4
Source: RefSeq, a predicted model, not a curated record
GACGUCAUAAGGCUGCGCCGCGGUCCUGCGUCUGUUGUGAUUCGGCUGAAGAAAGUGUCCACACAUAGAAAAACUCCUGGUGGAGCAACUGAGAUCCAUGUGACAUACUAUUAUAAAGAUGGCGUUUAUUAAAGAGGAGAGUGAAGACAUGAAGAUUGAAGAAACAUUCAGAGUGAAAAAGGAAGAUACUGAGGAACAAACAGCCCUGGUGGUACUGAAAGAAGAAAGUCAAGAACUGAUGGAAGAAAAAGAUCAGUAUGAGAAACAUUAUGAUUUCAUGACUGGAGAAAAAUCCACACAGACUGAAAAGACUUCCUCACGAAAAAGAGCUCAAAAGACAGACACUAACAGUUGUUUUACCUGCUGUCAGUGUGGAAAGAGUUUCAAUCAAAAACAAAACCUUGAAGUCCACUUAAGAGUUCACACAGGAGAGAAACCUUUCAGCUGCCAACAGUGUGGAAAACGUUUCACUCAAAAAGGAAACCUUAAAAGCCACUUAAGAAUUCACACUGGAGAAAAGCCUUACACCUGCCAACAGUGUGGAAAGAGCUUCACAGCAGAACCAAACCUUAGAUAUCACAUGAACAUUCACAAUGGUGUGAAGCCGUUCACAUGUGAUCAGUGUGGAAAGAGUUUUACACGUAAAGUAACCCUUAAUUACCACAUGAGGAUUCACUCAAGAGAGAACAUUUUAAUAUGUCAUCAUUGUGGAAAGAUUUUCAGUCAUAAAGUAAGCCUUAAGACUCACAUGAGACUUCACACGGGAGAGAAGCCUUACACAUGCCCUCAUUGCGGAAUGAGUUUUACAUAUAAAGCAUCACUUGAUUCCCACAUGGGAAGUCACACUGGACAGAGUGCUUUUCCCUGCAAAGUGUGUGGGAAGAGCUUCUCACUAAAAGGAAAUCUUAAGACUCACAUGAGAACUCACACUGGAGAGAAGCCGUUCAUAUGUGUUCAGUGUGGAAAAUGUUUCACACGUAAAGGAAACCUUAUUUGCCACAUGAAGAUUCACUCAAGAGAAGACUGUUAUAUAUGUCAUCAGUGUGGAAAGAGUUUCCCAGACAUGAAAUGCCUUAACAGGCAUGUGAUAAUUCACUCUGGAGAGAAGCCUUUCAAAUGCCAAGAGUGUGGAAGGGGUUUCAAAUUCAAUAAAAAUCUUAAGGCUCAUAUGAGAAUUCACAGCAGAGAGAAGCCUUUCAAAUGCCCUUCCUGUGAAAAGAGUUUCAGUCAUAAAGUAAGCCUUAAGACUCACAUGAGACUUCACACUGGAGAGAAGCCUUACACAUGCCCUCAGUGUGGAAAGAGUUUCACAUAUACAGCAACACUUAAAGCCCAUGUGAGAAGUCACACUGGAGAGAGGCCGUUCACAUGUGGUCAGUGUGGAAAGAGUUUCACACGUAAAGGAAACCUUAAUUACCAUGUGAGGAUUCACUCAAGAGAAAACUGUUUAAUAUGUCAGCAGUGUGGAAUGAAUUUUACAGAUAGGAAUCACCUUAAGAAUCAUGUAAUAAUUCACACAGGAGAGAAGCCUUUUAUGUGUCAUCACUGUGGAAAGAGUUGCACAAACAAAGCAAAUCUUGAGGUUCACGUAAGAGUUCACACUGGAGAGAAGCCUUUCACCUGCCCUCAGUGUGGGAAGAGUUUCACACUUAAAGGAAACCUUAAAACUCACAUAAGAGUUCACACUGGAGAGAAGCCUUUCAUGUGUCUUGAGUGUGAAAAGAGUUUCACAUAUCAAAAAGACCUGAAACGUCAUUUGCAAACUCAUUCCGGAAAGAAAUUGCAGUGUUCUGAGUGUGGUAAGACAUUUGGGAAAAGUAGCAAUUUCAAAAAUCACAUGCUCAUUCACUCUGGAGGAAGGCAAUUUAAUUGUGAACAGUGUAAUAAAAGGUUUCUUUUGCCAUCACACUUACAGAUACACCUGAAAAGCCAUGCAGAUGUGAGACCCUAUUUGUGUUCCUUGUGUGGAAAGAGUUUUAAAUGGCUCAGCAAUUUAAAAUGGCACCAGAGAAUACGUGUCUGUGAAAUUAAGUCAAUGUUCACCCCGCAGCAGAAUGUGGGGCAAAUCUCUGGGGCAAAACCACUUUCAUGAUCAUCUGCAUCCUUCACCUCUUGAGGCUUUUUAUUUUCUUUUGUCAUGUACAUAUGAACUUUUUGCAGCCACACCUCACCAUCUCUUUUGCUAUAGUUUAAAAUAUUGAGUGGUUGCGGUAGACACCCUCUAAUUGAGACGUCGCUCCAUUCCAUAUUGAUAUCUCAGAAUCAAAAUAUUAAACUUCUUUCUGGCUGUGAAUUGCCACAAUAUAAAGGAAAGACUGUAAACGAAACAACAUAAACUGACUGAAAAUAAUGAACAUUGAACUGCAUUAUUUGAUUUAUUUUUAGUGAGAGAAUGCACAGGUAAACGUGUUGUCAUCCUGGAAUUUAACAUGGAUAUUGUUGGGGCUCAUCCGGUGACACUGGAAGCUGGUUCCAGCUGUGGGUAAACAUUCUCUCACUGCCGAUCCUAGGUGUGCCUUAUGCUGGGUACACACCAAAAGAUAAUCGGGCUGAUUUUGGGCCGAUUUUCCCCCUUCCGACAAUCCUAGCUAUGUCCCGAUUAUCUUGAUGGUUCUACAGAUUAUUUUAUCAGAUUUUCCCUUGGUGUGAGGUGUGUUAAGAGUGUCCGAACCUGCUCGGAAGAACGUCGGAGGCGCCCCGAUCGCGAAUCGUAAAUAUUCAACAUGUUGAAUAUUUACGAUCAGAAAUCCUGAUGUGUGG